CGUAUCACCCAAGACAACUUUACGGAGUUGACGAUUGACGGAGCGAAGCGACGUCAAAGCGUUCAUUAAAGUCGAGUUGGCUUAGGGAUACGUUCGUUGGGUAGGGGAGCGUUCUGUAAGCCUGUGAAGGUGUGUCGUGAGGCAUGCUGGAGGUAUCAGAAGUGCGAAUGCUGACAUAAGUAACGAUAAAGCGGGUGAAAAGCCCGCUCGCCGGAAGACCAAGGGUUCCUGUCCAACGUUAAUCGGGGCAGGGUGAGUCGACCCCUAAGGCGAGGCCGAAAGGCGUAGUCGAUGGGAAACGGGUUAAUAUUCCCGUACUUGGUGUUACUGCGAAGGGGGGACGGAGAAGGCUAUGUUGGCCGGGCGACGGUUGUCCCGGUUUAAGCGUGUAGGUGUGUGUUCCAGGUAAAUCCGGUUCACUUUAACACUGAGGCGUGACGACGAGGCACUACGGUGCUGAAGCAACAAAUGCCCUGCUUCCAGGAAAAGCCUCUAAGCAUCAGGUAACACGAAAUCGUACCCCAAACCGACACAGGUGGUCAGGUAGAGAAUACCAAGGCGCUUGAGAGAACUCGGGUGAAGGAACUAGGCAAAAUGGUGCCGUAACUUCGGGAGAAGGCACGCUGACACGUAGGUGAAGUGAUUUACUCAUGGAGCUGAAGUCAGUCGAAGAUACCAGCUGGCUGCAACUGUUUAUUAAAAACACAGCACUGUGCAAACACGAAAGUGGACGUAUACGGUGUGACGCCUGCCCGGUGCCGGAAGGUUAAUUGAUGGGGUCAGCG
Molecule: ribosomal RNA, 785 nt
Filed under: Salmonella enterica
Lineage: Bacteria; Pseudomonadati; Pseudomonadota; Gammaproteobacteria; Enterobacterales; Enterobacteriaceae
Also listed under: 2 other names
Description: partial 23S ribosomal RNA
Rfam family: Bacterial large subunit ribosomal RNA
Source: RNAcentral